RNAcentral lists this ribosomal RNA (492 nucleotides) under uncultured bacterium. Its description in RNAcentral is "partial 16S ribosomal RNA". It matches the Rfam family "Bacterial small subunit ribosomal RNA", at positions 30 to 507 of the family's 1533-position model. The record is from RNAcentral.
AUUGAACGCUGGCGGCAUGCUUUACACAUGCAAGUCGAACGGUAACAGGCCUUCGGGUGCUGACGAGUGGCGAACGGGUGAGUAAUGCAUCGGAACGUGCCCAGAGGUGGGGGAUAACGCAGCGAAAGCUGUGCUAAUACCGCAUGUGAUCUGAGGAUGAAAGCGGGGGACCAGGCAGCAAUGUUUGGCCUCGCGCCUUUGGAGCGGCCGAUGUCAGAUUAGGUAGUUGGUGGGGUAAAGGCCUACCAAGGCGACGAUCUGUAGCUGGUCUGAGAGGACGACCAGCCACACUGGGACUGAGACACGGCCCAGACUCCUACGGGAGGCAGCAGUGGGGAAUUUUGGACAAUGGGCGCAAGCCUGAUCCAGCAAUGCCGCGUGCGGGAAGAAGGCCUUCGGGUUGUAAACCGCUUUUGUACGGAACGAAAAGGCUCUGGCUAAUACCUGGGGCUGAUGACGGUACCGUAAGAAUAAGCACCGGCUAACUACGUG